AAAGUAUGCGGUUGUAUGGAAUUUCGUAAGCAAAGGUCCGAGAGAACUCCUUGCUCUUUAUGUAACCAAUUCCAUGGGUUGCGUAGUAAGUAUCACAACACUUUAGGAAUUAGUGUAGAUCUAAAUGAUCUUUUCGCACUUGGUAGAGGUAAAGCUUAUCGACUGUGUAGCAUGUCGGGAGUGGAUUGAGCUUCGUAUAUGCACGUUAACUGUUUAACCUUUCACAAAGAUCUGUUGUUGUAUAAGUUUAGCAUGACUUACUGCUUGAAGGGCAAGCCAUAGGUGGUAUUCGGGAAACCGUAAGCUACCUUAGUACACUUGGUAGCAGCUUUAGGGUUCCAGGGCAGCUGUCCAUAGGGCAUACUGCAUAAUGUGCCUCCUCUGUCUCUGAGGCCCGGUUCC
RNAcentral lists this long non-coding RNA (402 nucleotides) under Malus domestica (apple). RNAcentral describes it as "long non-coding RNA (MDOM_LNC004655)". The record is from RNAcentral. Lineage: Eukaryota; Viridiplantae; Streptophyta; Magnoliopsida; Rosales; Rosaceae.